GAUGAACGCUGGCGGCGUGCCUAAUACAUGCAAGUCGAGCGAACAGACGAUGAGCUUGCUCCUCGCACGGUAGCGGCGGGCGGGUGUGUAACACGUGUAUAACCUACCUAUAAGACGGGGAUAACUUCGGGAAACCGGAUCUAAUACCGGAUAAUAUCUUGAACCGCAUGGUUCAAUAGUGAGAGACGGUUUUGCUGGCACGUAUAGAGGGAUCUGGGCCGCAUUAGCUAGUUGUUAAGGUAACGGCUUACCAAGGCAACGAUGCGUGACCGAACUGAGAGGGUGAUAGGCCACCCUGGAGCUGAGACGCGGUCAAUAGUCCUAAGGGACGCCGCAGUAGGGAACCUGACGCAAUGGGCGAAAGCAUGACGGAGCGAGGCCGAGUGUGAGAUGACGGUGCUCGGAUCGUAAAAAUGUGUUACGAGGGAAGAACAGAUUUGUACGUAAAUAUGCCCGUCUUGACGGUAACUGAUAAGAAAGCCACGGCUAACUACGUG
Molecule: ribosomal RNA, 497 nt
Filed under: uncultured bacterium
Lineage: Bacteria
Description: partial 16S ribosomal RNA
Rfam family: Bacterial small subunit ribosomal RNA
Source: RNAcentral